Non-coding RNA from Caerostris extrusa, 74 nucleotides. NCBI's taxonomy places the organism in Eukaryota, Metazoa, Arthropoda, Arachnida, Araneae, Araneidae. The record is from the annotation of a GenBank genome assembly.
GUGGCCGAGUGGUUAAGGCGAUGGGCAAAAAAUCAGUUGGGAUCUUCCCGCGUAAGUUCGACUCCUACCAACCA